Long non-coding RNA from Piliocolobus tephrosceles (Ugandan red Colobus), 1118 nucleotides. NCBI's taxonomy places the organism in Eukaryota, Metazoa, Chordata, Mammalia, Primates, Cercopithecidae. The record is from Ensembl.
CCUAAAUACCAACAAUUUAAAUACUUCUACUACUAAAAUAAUGAAUAAUGUUAACCCUAACUGUCUAAACGAAAUAAACAAAACUGUAGAUGGUCUACCACAACCAUACACUCUAACAAAUGGUGAGUCCUUAUAUGAAACAAAUUAUAUAAAAGAAAAUAAAAAUAACAAAUUAAAAAAAAAAGGAAAAAAAAAAAAAUCAGAUGAUAAUGUUUCUGAUAAUAAUAAUGUUUCUGAUGAUGAUAACACUGAUAAAUCUAAUUUUAAAAUGAAUGACAUGUACGUAAAUAUGAAUAGUAACACAAAUUAUAGUAGUACAAAUUAUGGCAAUAACCCUAAUUAUGUUACAAAUUAUGUUACUAAUUGUGUUACUAAUUGUAGUUCCAAUUUAGGCUCUAAUGUAGGCCCCAAUUUAAACUCUAAUGUAGGCCCCAAUGUAGAUCCCAAUGUAGGUCCAAAUAUAAUCUCAAAUUUUGGUACAAAUUAUCAGGUACCAGUUUACGAUUUACCUGCAAAUAGGAAUAUCAACUACUAUGAAGGCGCAUGUGUUAAUAACAACAACUUAGAUGUUAACUAUAAACUAGACCAAAAUAUAGGCGUUGGUAAUCAUAUUAUUGCCACUAAUGCGAGUACAGUUACUAAUGCGAGUACAGUCACUAAUACAAGUACAGUCACUAAUGCGAGUACAGUCACUAAUGCAAGUACAGUCACUAAUGCAAGUACAGUCACUAAUGCAAGUAUUACCACUGCUUCUACCACUGCCACCAAUAUCACCAAUGGUACUACUACAGCUACUACAGAUACUACAACCACUGUUGCUACCAAUACCACCAGUGGUAAUAACAAUGGAGUGACAGUAAUAAUGAAAGGGGGAGACGAUAAAACAAAAAAUGACAGUAUAAUAGAUAAAAAUUUACUGAAUUGUAACAAAAUAGUAAUGCCUACAAAUAUUCCAUAUAAUAUCGAUAAUUACCAACAAUUUAAUGAAUAUAAUGUACCAAACUCGACAAAUAUUAUAGGUAUAACAAAAAAAUGAUGUGAAUAACAAUAUAGGUAUUGUUAAUACAACAAAUUUUGUAAAAAAAAAUACAUAAUAACAAUACUAAUAACAAUACUAA